CGACGAAGGAAACAUAAAAAAGAAAAGAGAGGAUAGGAAAAAAUGCCGUGCAGAAGAAAAGGGGGAAGAACUGAAAAGUCUGUUCUCUGUUCUCAUUUCUGGUC
Molecule: non-coding RNA, 104 nt
Filed under: Chromera velia
Lineage: Eukaryota; Chromeraceae
Source: RNAcentral